UACGUAGGGUGCAAGCGUUAAUCGGAAUUACUGGGCGUAAAGCGUGCGCAGGCGGUUUUGUAAGUCUGACGUGAAAUCCCCGGGCUCAACCUGGGAAUUGCGUUGGAGACUGCAAGGCUUGAAUCUGGCAGAGGGGGGUAGAAUUCCACGUGUAGCAGUGAAAUGCGUAGAGAUGUGGAGGAACACCGAUGGCGAAGGCAGCCCCCUGGGUCAAGAUUGACGCUCAUGCACGAAAGCUGGGGGAGCAAACAGG
This 253-nucleotide ribosomal RNA is filed under the name uncultured bacterium. RNAcentral's name for it is "partial 16S ribosomal RNA". It matches the Rfam family "Bacterial small subunit ribosomal RNA", at positions 524 to 776 of the family's 1533-position model. The record is from RNAcentral.